This 402-nucleotide long non-coding RNA is filed under the name Capsicum annuum. Its description in RNAcentral is "long non-coding RNA (CANN_LNC014863)". Lineage: Eukaryota; Viridiplantae; Streptophyta; Magnoliopsida; Solanales; Solanaceae. The record is from RNAcentral.
GAUUUAUGCAUCAAUAGUGAAAACACCCUUUCUCCCAUAAGCAAAAAGAGAACUCAAAGGAGAUGGGAAGGGGACUGCCGUGAUAAUGGCGGCCAGAGGCGGCUCGCUGGUCAUCACUUCUGAUGAGAGAAGCGAUAAAGAAGAGGGGAAAAUAGAGAGAAGGAGGCGGUAGUGAUGGUGGAAAAAAGGACAGAGAGGUGGCGGGUUGGAGGUUCAGCUAGAGAAUUUAGAGGUGAUGAAGGUGUAGAGAUUAGAAAAUAGGUAGCAAAUAUCUUUUCUCUGAUUUUGGUUUUUGUACAUGUGUGUGUGGUGUAUAUGCGUUAGUGUGUGUAUUUGUGUCAAGAAAAAAAUAAUCCAACCCUUUCUAUUUAUUUAAAAUGAAAAUUGACCUCUGCCUUUACC